GAUGAAGAACGUAGCGAAAUGCGAUACGUAAUGUGAAUUGCAGAUUUCAGUGAAUCAUCGAAUCUUUGAACGCACAUUGCGCCCGCUAGUAUUCUGGCGGGCAUGCCUGUUCGAGCGUCAUUUCAACCAUCAAGCCCUAGGCUUGCGUUGGAGCCCUGCGGCUGCCGCAGGCUCCCAAAUCCAGUGGCGGGCUCGUCGUCGUACCGAGUGCAGUAAACAUCCUCGCUCAGGGAACGUGACGGGUUCUUGCCGUGAAACCCCCCACAUAUCAAGGUUGACCUCGGAUCAGGUAGGAAUACCCGCUGAACUUAAGCAUAUCAAUAGGCGGAGGA
RNAcentral lists this unclassified non-coding RNA (332 nucleotides) under soil metagenome. RNAcentral's name for it is "partial contains 5.8S ribosomal RNA, internal transcribed spacer 2, and large subunit ribosomal RNA". The stretch from base 1 to 120 matches the Rfam family "5.8S ribosomal RNA", at positions 35 to 154 of the family's 154-position model. The record is from RNAcentral.